CAGGGAUCUAGGAGUUUUCUUCUGAAAAAGAGGAAGUAUGUUUUAUUUUAUUAAUUUAUUUCUUGAAGUGAUCAUAAUCUCAAGAUUUCAUUGUCUUCAAGAUGAGACAGAAGAUGAAGCUUGGUACUGGGUCACAUGGCACUGCCCCUUCUUCCUUCCUCCCUGUGCGAGUCUCUUAAAUAAGCCAGCACCCUUGUCACUGCCUGGAUGGUGAGCUCAGUGAGUGCAUGCAUCAGCUCAAGCUUCUUGGUACUUUAGCCUUUUUCUGGAAAAUCAGCUUAGUCUUCCCACCAUUGCUGCUCUGCUUUCUGUUGAAAAGGCACAUUCCCUGGCCACACAGAGAAUCCCUGCCUUUCUUGUACUGUGUCAUUUGGUGGGGUUGGUGCUUGAAACAUUUCUUCCAGGAAGCGUGGCUGGUUUUAGAAAUGUCCACCAUGUUUGCAGAAGCACCUCUGGCCUGGAAAAGCAAAGCUCCUCAUUUAAAGCCAGAUACCCACAAAGAUGCUCCUGACUUGACACAGAUAUUUCAGAUUCUGCUCAUUCCUCACUGUUAAGAAGGCAGAGGAUAAUCUACUUCAGCAAGAUCUAAGGAACAAGGCAGUGGAAGGAAUUUGGAUAUAAACUUUCCAUCCCCUAAAGAAGUCUCAUGCUUGUUUCUUGGCCCAUGCAAGGAAUGCUUUCUCUUUAUUUACUUUCAUUUACUUAAAAUCUGACAUGUAGCAUGGUGGCUGGUAUGUAACAAGUAAAUGCUCAAUAAAUAUUGGUCAGUUCAAAGAAUUAAAUAAUAAUGUUUAGAGGCAGAGCAUUGGUUAUCUAGAAAAAUCUGCUUACAUCUUUACAUAAUUAUGACAAAUGAAAUGAUUUGGGGGAAGAAAAGAUUAAUAUGGGCCAACUCCAUAGCUAAAGGACACCGAUGGGAGCCAUGUGUUAAGUACACAGUCAGGAACUGAAGAGAAGCUUCACAGACUGGGUAUGAGUUCAGCAUGGUUUUGAUGAAAUCCAUAGAAAUUCUGUGGAAAGGAGUGAAGAUGUUCCUGGCCCAUGGAUUAGCUCAUGCCAAGAUCUGAUGUCUAAAGAGAGGUGAGAGGGGAAGGCAGUGGUGUGGUUGGUGGGAGCAGAUGGUGUGGGUCUGAGUGACUGUCCUCAUUUCUCUCUCUCAUCCAGCUUUCCAGGCAGUCUUAGAGGAGAGGAUACUUAUUAUAGGAACAACAUGGCUGAGAAACCUACCUAACAUUGUAAGGGGGCAGAGUGGCCACACACAAGGAAGAGGAAGACUUCUACUCUCUCUGUGGUUAACUGAGGCAUCCUCCCUACGUUUCUCCUAUUGACACCCCUGCCCCCCAAAACUGGGGAUUGAACCCAGGGUCUUUGCACUGAGCUACAUUCCCAGCUCUUAAAAAUUUUUUUUUAACUUGAGACAGUUUCUCACAAAGUCAUGAAGUUACUGAGGCUGAUCUCAUACUUUCUACUCCCUAGUUGAUCUACUCUUUGUUCUGGAUACUUGUCUCUGUGGAUCCCCUGCACUGUCCCUUUUCUCUAAGCUAUGUCAUUGCUUUCUCAGCAGACUGCUUUGGCAAUAUCCCAUACCUUCCCUUUCAGUCCUACACCAGUAAUGAGCAAAUCUGUCUGCAUUCCAGACUUCUCUCCUGAGCCCUAGCUCUUACUUUCAGGAACUUGAUAGAUGCAUCUGCUAGAAUGUGGAUCUAGAAUGUCCUCCAAGGGCCCUUGUGUUAAAAGGUUGGCCCUUAGCUUGGUGCUGCUGGAGGGUGGUGGAAGCCUUACAAGGUGGUGCUUGAUGGGAAGUUUCAGAUUGCUGAACAUGUGCCCUUGAAGGGGAUUGUGGGACUGUAGUCUCCCUCUCCACCUCUCUCUCUCUCUCCUGGCUGCCAUGAAGUGAGCAGCUUGCUCUACCGUGUACUUCCUGCCAUGACAUUUUUGCCUUGCCACAGGCCCCCAAACAAUGAGUCCAACAUACCAUGGACUUAAACCUCCAAAACUAUGAGCCAAAAUAAACCUUUCCUCUUAUCAGGUACUUGUUACAGUAACAGAAAACUAACAUGAUAUCCUGCUAGGUAUCUUUCAGGCAACUUUAACACAACAUGCUCCAAGUUAAAUUCAUUUUUUUCUCCCCAAAUCUGCUCCUCUUUUGGUUAUGAUCUUGCUUAUAGUCCUAUUAUUUAAGCAGAGCAUCUGCUUGCCUUUGACUGCUUCUCAUCCACCUCCCAUGGUUACUCAGUCACUAUGCCUUGACCAUUUUACAUGUGUGUUGAAUGUCUUUACUUUUCAUUACAUCUGUGCCAAUUUUGUCUCUUAACCUCUUCCUCUUGGACCAGUGUGUUACCUCUUAACUGUUAGGCCCUUCUGCUUUUAAUCAGAAUUUCCCUCUCCUCCUUGAACCUAUCUCCUUAUUUACUGCCAGGAUGGUUGUUUUUAGAAAAAAAAAUUGGAUCAUGUCACUGUUGGUGACAAAGCAUGAGAGCUUCCUUCUUGCCUGGGGACCAGUAAGUAUCUUCCACGUUCCGGCACCACCAGGAUCCAGUUUCUACUUUCACAGUUGCUGAUUUUCAGCUUGGACCUUUCCCUCCUGCCUAGCCCACAACCCCCC
This is a long non-coding RNA of Heterocephalus glaber (naked mole-rat), 2605 nucleotides long. NCBI's taxonomy places the organism in Eukaryota, Metazoa, Chordata, Mammalia, Rodentia, Bathyergidae. The record is from Ensembl.